UGUGGCUGGGGGUGAAAGGCCAAUCAAACCGGGAGAUAGCUGGUUCUCCCCGAAAGCUAUUUAGGUAGCGCCUCGUGAAUUCAUCUCCGGGGGUAGAGCACUGUUUCGGCAAGGGGGUCAUCCCGACUUACCAACCCGAUGCAAACUGCGAAUACCGGAGAAUGUUAUCACGGGAGACACACGGCGGGUGCUAACGUCCGUCGUGAAGAGGGAAACAACCCAGACCGCCAGCUAAGGUCCCAAAGUCAUGGUUAAGUGGGAAACGAUGUGGGAAGGCCCAGACAGCCAGGAUGUUGGCUUAGAAGCAGCCAUCAUUUAAAGAAAGCGUAAUAGCUCACUGGUCGAGUCGGCCUGCGCGGAAGAUGUAACGGGGCUAAACCAUGCACCGAAGCUGCGGCAGCGACGCUGAUGCGUUGUUGGGUAGGGGAGCGUUCUGUAAGCCUGUGAAGGUGUGCUGUGAGGCAUGCUGGAGGUAUCAGAAGUGCGAAUGCUGACAUAAGUAACGAUAAAGCGGGUGAAAAGCCCGCUCGCCGGAAGACCAAGGGUUCCUGUCCAACGUUAAUCGGGGCAGGGUGAGUCGACCCCUAAGGCGAGGCCGAAAGGCGUAGUCGAUGGGAAACAGGUUAAUAUUCCUGUACUUGGUGUUACUGCGAAGGGGGGACGGAGAAGGCUAUGUUGGCCGGGCGACGGUUGUCCCGGUUUAAGCGUGUAGGCUGGUUUUCCAGGCAAAUCCGGAAAAUCAAGGCUGAGGCGUGAUGACGAGGCACUACGGUGCUGAAGCAACAAAUGCCCUGCUUCCAGGAAAAGCCUCUAAGCAUCAGGUAACAUCAAAUCGUACCCCAAACCGACACAGGUGGUCAGGUAGAGAAUACCAAGGCGCUUGAGAGAACUCGGGUGAAGGAACUAGGCAAAAUGGUGCCGUAACUUCGGGAGAAGGCACGCUGAUAUGUAGGUGAAGUCCCUCGCGGAUGGAGCUGAAAUCAGUCGAAGAUACCAGCUGGCUGCAACUGUUUAUUAAAAACACAGCACUGUGCAAACACGAAAGUGGACGUAUACGGUGUGACGCCUGCCCGGUGCCGGAAGGUUAAUUGAUGGGGUCAGCGCAAGCGAAGCUCUUGAUCGAAGCCCCGGUAAACGGCGGCCGUAACUAUAACGGUCCUAAGGUAGCGAAAUUCCUUGUCGGGU
This 1185-nucleotide ribosomal RNA is filed under the name human gut metagenome. Its description in RNAcentral is "bacterial LSU rRNA". It matches the Rfam family "Bacterial large subunit ribosomal RNA", at positions 810 to 1977 of the family's 2925-position model. The record is from RNAcentral.